Molecule: ribosomal RNA, 377 nt
Filed under: uncultured bacterium
Lineage: Bacteria
Description: bacterial SSU rRNA
Rfam family: Bacterial small subunit ribosomal RNA
Source: RNAcentral
GUAGUCCACGCCGUAAACGAUGGGCACUAGAUGUUGUAGGAAUUGACCCCUGCAGUGUCGUAGCUAACGCAUUAAGUGCCCCGCCUGGGAAGUACGGUCGCAAGAUUAAAACUCAAAGGAAUUGACGGGGGCCCGCACAAGCGGUGGAGCAUGUGGUUUAAUUCGAUGCAACGCGAGGAACCUUACCUGGAUUUGACAUCCACUGACCGCUCCAGAGAUGGAGUUUCCCCGAAAGGGGCAGUGAGACAGGUGCUGCAUGGCUGUCGUCAGCUCGUAUCGUGAGAUGUCGGGUUAAGUCCCUUAACGAGCGCAACCCCUAUCCCUAGUUGCCAUCAUUUAGUUGGGCACUCUACGGAGACUGCCGGUGUUAAACCGGA